This 404-nucleotide ribosomal RNA is filed under the name Actinomycetes bacterium. RNAcentral describes it as "Actinobacteria bacterium partial 16S ribosomal RNA". It matches the Rfam family "Bacterial small subunit ribosomal RNA", at positions 355 to 776 of the family's 1533-position model. Lineage: Bacteria; Bacillati; Actinomycetota; Actinomycetes. The record is from RNAcentral.
UGGGGAAUAUUGGACAAUGGGCGCAAGCCUGAUCCAGCCAUGCCGCGGGAGUGAUGAAGGCCCUAGGGUUGUAAAGCCCUUUCACCGGUGAAGAUAAUGACGGUAACCGGAGAAGAAGCCCCGGCUAACUUCGUGCCAGCAGCCGCGGUAAUACGAAGGGGGCUAGCGUUGUUCGGAUUUACUGGGCGUAAAGCGCACGUAGGCGGACUAUUAAGUCAGGGGUGAAAUCCCGGGGCUCAACCCCGGAACUGCCGUUGAUACUGGUAGUCUUGAGUUCGAGAGAGGGGAGUGGAAUUCCGAGUGUAGAGGUUAAAUUCGUAGAUAUUCGGAGGAACACCAGUGGCGAAGGCGGCGCACUGGCUCGAUACUGAAGCUGAGGUGCGGAAGCGUGGGGAGCAAACAGG